UGCAUCUGAGAGGUUAAGUUGCCUUCUAUAAAAUGGAAGCAUGUAGGCGCUACUUUGGUGUGCUGGUAAAACACAGCAGGAUGCUCAGUGGAGAGCAUGAUUUAGGGGAUCAGCAUUCUGCUCCAACUCUGCCAGCUCAGUAAUUCUGCAAAAUGUGUGCUGCUGCUGAGCUUCCUAAAUAUGCAGAUCCAUAUUCCUGGAUCCCUGAAGUCUCUGGCCUCCGUUUGAACUUUCUGACAGUUCUGGGUUCUCCAUCUGAAAAAAAAAAAGAAAACAAAACUGGAAAAGGUGGAGAAAAGAAGGAUAAAGAGGAUCAAAACUAUGAAAUUACUUCUCUGCAAAGGAUCAUUGAAUACACCAAGACUCUUUAGCCCAACAAAGAGACAACAAAAGAUAGAGAUGAUGGAAUUCUACCAAGUGAGAAGUGGCAUGGAGGUCUGUACAGCAGGGCUCUGACUGGGAAAGCACAUGGGAAGGUAGUUUACCUCAAAGCUCGGAGGAAUUUCAGACACCUGCCGUUCAAACUGGGAUCCCUGCGUGGGAAAGGGCUGUCCCAUGAGAUGAGCACAACUUGAAAGUGAAGAUCUGAUUUUAGGACAGGACUAGACUGGUUGGUACCAGGAGGUUGAGGAGAGCACACUGAGCUCUCUCUGCUGGGGCUCAGGCUUUAGAAAGCGAGCACUCAACAUGACAGAUUGCUUUUCUACACCCUGCCAGCCAUCUUCCCGACUGCCAACGAACCAAACGACAACGAUGUAUUGCUCACACACGGUACGAUCCAGCAUUGCUGGAAGUCAUUGGCUGUCCUUCUCUUGCCUUCGGGAUGUAUCCACUGAGGCCUGGGCUGUCUGAUCCAAAACUGACUGAAGCGGGAAUAUUUGCCACUGAUUAAAAGGAAUUUGCAUAUUCGUAACAAACUGGAAGUAGAGGCUUUCAGGCUGACUUUGCAGAAUAAUUCCAAUGAAAAGAAGAAAAAAUAUCUCAGCUAUUAACUAUCUGAGGGCACACAAAUACUCUACCAUGUCUCCUAUCUGCAGAUAUUGCAUAGUUGUUGAACUACAACUUAAUGAUUCAUAAAACAAAACCUUAAAAAAAUUACACUAGUUCUUAACAGCAGUUUAAUGCAAGAAUUUUCAAAUCUUAUUGUGUUUAUGGAGAAAAAUCACAGAUUCCAGGGAAAAAAGCCAUUGGCAUUACAUGGAAUGAAAUUUAUAACCCACUGAGUUUUUACGAAACCUUCUGCAACGCUAACUCUGCUUCCUCCUGAAGUCACCUUAGUAACUGCUUCAAUUUCAUCAUCAGAUUAGAGGGCAAUAUUAACAAUAUCUAUUUUCAUAUUUAAGUGAAAUACCUAUAUAUGUGUGUAUGUAUAUGUAUAUAUAUAGAUAUAGUCUCUAGCAUUUGAAAUGUGAACUGAAAGAGGAUUGAAGAGAGAGAGCUGUGUGGGCAACCUGUUUCCAGGAGAAGGUGUCUUCAGAUUUUCAAAGACCAGAAAUUUGAAACUGUCUGGAGCUUAUGAUUUCCUAAACACCCAUGUUCGGUGCUGGA
Dromaius novaehollandiae (emu) is the source of this 1548-nucleotide long non-coding RNA. RefSeq lists it as uncharacterized. The transcript is spliced from 4 exons. NCBI's taxonomy places the organism in Eukaryota, Metazoa, Chordata, Aves, Casuariiformes, Dromaiidae. The record is from RefSeq and is a predicted model, not a curated record.